UCUGUUAUUUGAGUUCGUCUGUUAUGGCAACAUCAGAUACUAUAGAAAAUGGCGCUUGACAGUCCGCAACAUCCAGUGAUAGCGAUGAGCCCGGCUCCUCAUCAGGGCUGUAGCACUACUAUUAGAUCCUCGUUGUCUUACCAGAUUCUACUCUUCCUUAACCAAUGGUACUUUGGAUUAUUUUUUAUUCUUGAAAUAUUUAUCUUUAUAUUCAAAGGUGAAACACUACCCUAUGCUCCAGGAGUUUUGAGUCUUGAAGUGCUGCUGCUCUUCCUCUUGUUGAUCAUUGAGCAAUUCCGGAUUUUCUUUGGCAAAAAGGGUAACCUCACCGAACGCAUCAAUGGUGUAGCAAUGAGCAUCUUCUUGAGUCUACCUUCAUUGAGUGUAACACUUUAUCUCACUUUCUGGCAGUCCUAUGUCCUGCAGCUGGAAGUUAUUUUGACGGCAAUUGAAAUAACGUUUAUUGGUGCAGAAUUUAUUUUUGGACUUCUAUUCAUUAUUACAUUUGCAAGAGCUGCACCAUACUGAAUUCCAGCCAUAGAAACAGAACCUCUGUGAUGAGUAAAAUUACUUGUUUUACUCGAAUUUAUCAAUGUAGAACAUUCCGUCCAUGUACAAAUUCCUUCAUUUCUUUCUCUGAGAUUAUAUAUUUUGUACCUCAUGUCAAUCAAUCAACUAAUGCCAACUAAUUCAUGUUGAUCUUUGAAGAUUAUUUUGACUAAUUGGAAAUUUGUGAGAAAUUCUUUUGAAAUGGAUAAAUAAUUUCUUACAAAGUCACAAAGCCAGAAAUUUUGUGGAAACCGGUCAGUUGAUUACACUGAUCCCCAAUAAUUGACUGGUGCUUUAUUUUAUUGACCCCAGAAGGGUGAAAAGCAAAGUUGAUGUUGGUAGGAUUUGAACUCAGACUAUAAAAAGCCAGAGCAAAUACUGUAAGGCAUUCUACCUGAUGCUCAACUGAAUCUGCCAGAAAGACAAGCUAACAACUAGUAUGUAUAAAAUAAUUGAAUGGCACAUCUAUCCUCGUUUACCAUAGGUAUUCAGUUCUAAAAACACCAUGUUAAAUGAAUGAGCGAUAAAUAGACAAUAGGACAUAUGGGGCAAAAUAAAUUUUCUUCUGAGGCUUCAAGUUGUCCUGAGCAUUGUUGGUGGUGCACUUUUGUGGUCCAAGCAGAAUUCUUGACUGAUUGCCAACCCAUGUUAUCAAAGACCAAUUUCUGAUAAGCAUAACGGUACAUAAUUGAGCAUACUGAGUUGUCCUGGAUCAGUGAUAAUUGAAUUUGAGAUAAACAAGGAUUGAUGUAUUAAUCUCUUUUAAAAACUAUGUAUUUUUAUUAUUCUUCAUUCUUUUUGUAUUUCAUAACACUGUAAAUAAAAUAUUGAAUUUUUAA
This 1388-nucleotide unclassified non-coding RNA is filed under the name Octopus sinensis (East Asian common octopus). Its description in RNAcentral is "transmembrane protein 216-like, transcript variant X1". Lineage: Eukaryota; Metazoa; Mollusca; Cephalopoda; Octopoda; Octopodidae. The record is from RNAcentral.